UCUCCAAGCUGAGGAGAGAGGGUGAAAGAAGUGAUUUUGGUGUGCCUGAAGAAAACAAAGCAAAAAGGAUAUUCAAAAGCUGUAGAAAGGCCUGUGGAACUGUUAAAAAGGCAUGCUCUCCACAAUCAGUCAACCCCCUCUGGCAGAAUGGAAAUAAACGGAAUAAAAUGGAAUCAAAUGGCCUUCAAUAUCUGCCCUCAAAGCUAUGAAGUAAGCAAAACCAACUUUUUUUUACUGUUGGGUUUUCAACCAGCUGUGUCAAUCUCUGUCAUGUAUUCACCAGUGUUAUCAUGCUUAUUUAGUACAUGGCUUCUAUAUCUAUUUCUGGAAGAUACAGAUAUGCCUGCAUUACAGAGCAUUCAGAUCAGAAGUCCAACACAUCUUGAGCCCAUUGGAUUCCUUAAAUAUGUGCUGACUCUCAAGAUAUGCAUGCCUAUCCAGAAAGCGCUGACUAGAACUAUCAUGCUGCACCACUGGUGCUGACUGGUGAACUGCACCAAUGCAAGGAGCACAUCUGGGAUUUCUGAAUUUUGUACAGACUUGUAGAGACUCCUACAACAACUGCACAGCAAGAAUCCUGGAUGAACAUCCAAAAUCUUCAAAUUCUAUCUCAUUACAUCUUCUAGCUGGAAAUAAAAGGUGAUUCCAUAGAAACCUAGAAAUAUGGUAGCCCUAUCUGAACACUGCAGAACACUGAUGGGAUUCUGCAGCCUGUAUACUCAUGUUAAUAGGAUUUAUAUUUCAUUAUCAAUUGCUUGCAAUUAAAAAAGAAACAGUUCAAAUUUUCAUUUUUUUAAAAAAUGUAAUAUUAAAUGGUAUUUGAUAGAUGAAUACAACACAGGUAUAAAACGUC
Long non-coding RNA from Dromaius novaehollandiae (emu), 853 nucleotides. RefSeq lists it as uncharacterized. The transcript has 2 exons. NCBI's taxonomy places the organism in Eukaryota, Metazoa, Chordata, Aves, Casuariiformes, Dromaiidae. The record is from RefSeq and is a predicted model, not a curated record.